Molecule: small nuclear RNA, 107 nt
Organism: Neotoma lepida (desert woodrat)
Lineage: Eukaryota; Metazoa; Chordata; Mammalia; Rodentia; Cricetidae
Source: Rfam
GUGCUUGCUUUGGCAGCACAUAUACUGAAGUUGGAACAAUACAGAGAAGAUUAGCAUGAUGCCAGUGCAAGGAUGACAUGCAAAUUUGUGAAGUGUUCCAUAAUUUU